Long non-coding RNA from Monopterus albus (swamp eel), 630 nucleotides. RefSeq lists it as uncharacterized. The transcript has 4 exons. Lineage: Eukaryota; Metazoa; Chordata; Actinopteri; Synbranchiformes; Synbranchidae. The record is from RefSeq and is a predicted model, not a curated record.
UGCCCGCACCUGCCAUAAAGCAGCCGACUGGACUCUUUCUCCAGGGCUUUCUCAUCAUAUUACAAAGGUGGUUUUGAGCAGAUGUCCAGACGAGAGGCCAGCCUCAUUCUUGGAAUCAGCCAGUACUAAGUCCAAGGUGUGAGGCCCAUGGCAGAAUCAUAGACUUGAACCAUCCAGAUAAGGGUGGGUCACCAUAUCUCAAUGCUAAGAUCAACGAGACCAAAGACCUUUUGUACAAGGAGACACGGCGAUCACCUGCACCUCAGAUGUCCAUCACCUCAUCCAGAACUCAGCUCUGUGGCACUGCUUUCAACAUCAGCACCACAUCUGGACUUCCAUUCGGGCUCCUGGAAGGUGAUAGAAAAUGUUCCUUAUUUAAGCUGGUUACAUAACUUAGCUGGAACUAUAUUUAUAAAACCUGUGAACACAUCAACAAAGAGUUAGUGUUACUAUCUUAAAAUCCCAGUCAUUGGAAAUAUUCUAGGGGAAGGCAUAAGUAAGGAAUGCUGUUGUUCUACAUGAGCAGAAUGCUGUUGAGUUCACGAUUUGCUGUGUAUAACAUUUUGGUAUGUGUACACAAGUCAGCAUACAAGUAAGGCAUUACCUAAUUAUGUAUUCUAUGUAAUUAAG